UCUCCAGUAUAUAUUUGGUGUUUUGGGAAAAAGAAAAAAAAAAGAAAAAAAAAAAAAAAAAGGCAUAGCAAGCUGCCACAGAGCUGUUUUCGUAGCCAGUUUUGUGGAGUAAUCUGCGAAGCCAGAGGAAAUUGGACUCAGUCCAUAAAUAAAGGCUGCUGCAGCAUGUGCUCGUCUCUGACUUCUUCUUGAAAGCUGUAUUUUUAUGUAAUGUGAUACAAACUGGAUGUUUCUGUGAAGAACGAAUGCAAGAACUGACGGAGUUUGACACAGGUAGCAGAGGGGGUUCUGGCAGUGAGCAAGAAGCAUUUGUUUCCACCUCAUCAGAGAGAACAGAAUCAGAAUUGUGGAAUCACAAGUUGCCUGAGGUUGGAAGGGACUUCUUGAGAUUAUCGAGUCUAACCCCCUGCUCAUGGAGGGUCAGCUAGAGAAUAUUGCCUGGGACCAUAUCCUGUCAAGUUUUGAGAAUCUCAACAGGUGUAAACUCCACAAAAAUUCUUGGCAAUCUGUUAUAGUACUGGAACAUCCUCAC
Molecule: long non-coding RNA, 532 nt
Organism: Oxyura jamaicensis (ruddy duck)
Lineage: Eukaryota; Metazoa; Chordata; Aves; Anseriformes; Anatidae
Exons: 2
Source: RefSeq, a predicted model, not a curated record